RNAcentral lists this ribosomal RNA (254 nucleotides) under uncultured bacterium. RNAcentral describes it as "partial 16S ribosomal RNA". It matches the Rfam family "Bacterial small subunit ribosomal RNA", at positions 524 to 776 of the family's 1533-position model. The record is from RNAcentral.
CACGUAGGGGGCGAGCGUUGUCCGGAUUUAUUGGGCGUAAAGAGCUCGUAGGCGGCUCAGUAAGUCGGGUGUGAAAACUCCAGGCUCAACCUGGAGACGCCACCUGAUACUGCUGUGGCUAGAGUCCGGUAGGGGAGCAUGGAAUUCCUGGUGUAGCGGUGAAAUGCGCAGAUAUCAGGAGGAACACCAGUGGCGAAGGCGGCUCUCUGGGACGGUACUGACGCUGAGACGCGAAAGCGUGGGGAGCGAACAGG